UGAGGAAUAUUGCACAAUGGGCGAAAGCCUGAUGCAGCAACGCCGCGUGAGGGACGAAGGCCUUCGGGUCGUAAACCUCUUUUCUGGGGAAAGAGCAAGGACGGUACCUCAGGAAUAAGUCUCGGCUAACUACGUGCCAGCAGCCGCGGUAAAACGUAGGAGGCGAGCGUUAUCCGGAUUUACUGGGCGUAAAGCGCACGCAGGCGGCUUCGUUAGUCGGAUGUGAAAGCUCCUGGCUUAACUAGGAGGGGCCAUUCGAUACUGCGAGGCUUGAGGCAGGGAGAGGGGUGCGGAAUUCCCGGUGUAGUGGUGGAAUGCGUAGAUAUCGGGAGGAACACCUGUGGCGAAAGCGGCACCCUGGCCCUCGCCUGACGCUGAGGUGCGAAAGCGUGGGGAGUAA
Molecule: ribosomal RNA, 400 nt
Filed under: uncultured bacterium
Lineage: Bacteria
Description: bacterial SSU rRNA
Rfam family: Bacterial small subunit ribosomal RNA
Source: RNAcentral